Molecule: non-coding RNA, 91 nt
Filed under: Rhodomonas lens
Lineage: Eukaryota; Cryptophyceae; Pyrenomonadales; Pyrenomonadaceae
Source: RNAcentral
GGGAUGGCGGGGCUGGCGGCAGGUGAGGGCGGGGGCAGCGCGACGCCUCAGGCUGGAAGCGGAGCAGGCUACGGGGCGCCGCGCGCAGGGA